RNAcentral lists this ribosomal RNA (250 nucleotides) under uncultured archaeon. RNAcentral describes it as "partial 16S ribosomal RNA". It matches the Rfam family "Archaeal small subunit ribosomal RNA", at positions 616 to 865 of the family's 1478-position model. The record is from RNAcentral.
UAUUCUAGGGGGAGCGGUAAAAUGCUAUAAUCCUUAGAGGACCACCUGUGGCGAAGGCGUCUAACUAGAACAGUUCUGACGGUGAGGGAUGAAAGCUGGGGGAGCGAUCCGGAUUAGAUACCCGAGUAGUCCCAGCUGUAAACACUGCGAGCUAGGUGUUGCGUGGUCUUCGUGACUACGCAGUAUCGUAAUGAAGAUGUUAAGCUCGCCGCCUGGGGAGUACGGUCGCAAGACUGAAACUUAAAGGAAU